This 253-nucleotide ribosomal RNA is filed under the name uncultured bacterium. Its description in RNAcentral is "partial 16S ribosomal RNA". It matches the Rfam family "Bacterial small subunit ribosomal RNA", at positions 524 to 776 of the family's 1533-position model. The record is from RNAcentral.
UACGUAGGCAGCGAGCGUUGUUCGGAGUUACUGGGCGUAAAGCGUGCGCAGGCGGUUUUGUAAGCCAGAUGUGAAAUCCCCGGGCUUAACCUGGGAAUGGCAUUUGGGACUGCAAGGCUGGAGUUUGGCAGAGGAGACUGGAAUUCCUGGUGUAGCAGUGAAAUGCGUAGAUAUCAGGAGGAAUACCGAUGGCGAAGGCAGGUCUCUGGGCUAUAACUGACGCUCAUGCACGAAAGCGUGGGGAGCAAACAGG